This is a long non-coding RNA of Brassica napus (rape), 2248 nucleotides long. RefSeq lists it as uncharacterized. The transcript is spliced from 2 exons. The record is from RefSeq and is a predicted model, not a curated record. Lineage: Eukaryota; Viridiplantae; Streptophyta; Magnoliopsida; Brassicales; Brassicaceae.
AUUCACAAUGUGUUGGAUUAUUCAAUUUAUUUGAUUUACAUGGCCGUAUCGAGAGGAAAAGAAUAUUUGGACAUGAUUUAUUUGACUUGGACCAGGUUUGUUGUUUAAUCUUUGUAUGCUUAAUAAUUGUUGAUGGGUUUAUCUUCGACGACAUGUUAUUGGCCCUAAACUAUUGAGAAUGAAAAACAUAUCCAAUUUCUUAGUUCUAAUCUAUCAGCAAGCAAAACAAAAUAAAACUGCUCAUCUUGUCUAUGUGAUUAAGAAAAAAAGAUUAGGAUUUACAACGUAAAAUUCAACAUGUUUGAAGUUCCCAGAAUCUUCUAACUAAAUCUUACCCAGACGAUUCUUCUAUUAGCAAUUUUUCUUUCCCUGUUGUUGUUUCUUCAUCGACAUCAACCAUCAUCUCCUCCGAUAGUCUAUCAAGUGAAUUAGCUUCUCCCACAAUUUUUGGGUUCUAACCUUUGCUUAUAUAGGUUGAAGAACAUACUGCAAGAAUAUAUGCCUAAGAUUUUCCAAUUGUUGACAUAUAUUUAGCUUGUCAAUCACUCAUACAAUUAAUAGUCAUAAAGCAUUAAGGGGGAUGUAUUCAACUGAGAGUUUCAGGUGAUUUGUAUUAAAAUGACAAAUCCACUGUUAUUGAAACAUGAAUUUUAAAAACUCAUUUAAAAUCCACUGUUAUUGAAUUUGACAUUUCUUAAAGUACUCUGAAAUCCACUGUUAUUGAAAAUAUUUUAAGUUGUGGAGUUUUAAAGUUUUCAGGUGAUUUUAGGGUGUUUGGGUAUGAUUUCUUAGUUAAAAAAAUUAAAACUCAAAUCUCAUAGUUUUAGGUGAUAUUCUAGAGUAGUUUAACAAAAGUCAAAUAAAUCUCUGCAACUUAUUGAAAUCAUCUAAAACCCCAUUAAAAAUUAAAUCACAUCAAAUGUUAAAUUGAAUACAUCCCCCUAAACAUUAAUCUUAUCCAUACAUUCGUCCUUGACUUUAAAGCAUUGUAAAGGUAUACGCAAUAUUUAGGAAUCACCCUAAUAUCAUUGCCAUAUAUAAAGAUUACCGUUCAGUUGAAUUAUUUCAUAUAGUUAAUACUAUAUAAAUGUUUUUCUAAAAUAAAAGAUGGCAACUUAGACUAUAUUACCGGGAUGAUUACACAGUAUUAAACUAUAUUCAUUCUUACUUUUCUUGUAUACAUCUGUAUCAGAUAGUAAACCAAUUUUUAUUCGGUAUGUUUAACGGUUAACCACAUUAUUCGAAUUACAAUUCGGUUUGUGAUAACCGUUUGUCAAAUUUAUGAAUGUGACAUAUUUUGUUGUUUACUGCAUUUUUGUCUAACUUUAUGAAUAUAAUGUUUCAUUGAUUUUAUGUGUUUGUAUAAAAUGGUUUAAUGGUCUUCUAUGAUCUCAGCAAGUUCUGAUAUCAUUGCAUAAAGUAUGUAAAAAAAAUGUUUACAAUAGUUUCUUAUAUACCCAUGUUUAAUUCUAUCUACGGUUUAGAUUGAUGCUCUUUUUACAAUCUCAUAUGGAUAUGUUGCUUUAACUAAUGUUUAAUAUUUGAUUUUAAUGUAAAUGGGAAAACGGCAAUGGUAGUAGCAUAUUUUGUAAAUAUUGUAGUAAAGAAAGUGGAGUUAGUUAUUUAGGUUGGGAAUCAUUGUGGGAUUGACGCCUAAGCAUGGCAUAUAUGUAAUAUGUAAAUAAAUUACAAACUAAAUGUUACUCUCCCAGAAUGUAAAGAGAUUUUUUUUAUCAAGACCAAAAAUCCAACCAAUUUAAUUUUCGUUGAACAAUGUCAAAUCCAACAAAUGUUUCCAAUAAUAAAAAUUUUAUAAAGCUAUAAAUAGGGAUUGUUCAUAGUAAUCAGAAGCAUCAAAAAAAGACAAACAUAGAAGAUACACAAAACUAAAAAAAAAAAAAGAUGGAGAAGAACUGUAUAUGCAUGUUGAUGAUUAUGUUUAUUGCAUUGACGAUGAUGUCAUUACCAGCAAUGAGUGAAUCGUAUGAAGCUUGUUAUGAUAGGUGCAUUUCCUCGUGCCAAAUAUUUUUUGAAGGAGUUGAAAAAUGCAUUCACGAUUGUGUUGGUAUCAAAUGUCAUAAAACACAUGUACUCCCUCGGAUGGCGGUUAAAGGGAUGUUUCAAGAAAUUCAUACAUAGAGAGAUAUGUUAUUAAACACACAUGAUGUUUAAGUUUACUACUCUUUGAUUUAUAUAAUUUUGAAUAAUAAAAUUCCUUCAUCAUUUUUAGAAUUUAAUUGUUUUCACA